This 352-nucleotide ribosomal RNA is filed under the name uncultured bacterium. RNAcentral describes it as "bacterial SSU rRNA". It matches the Rfam family "Bacterial small subunit ribosomal RNA", at positions 8 to 350 of the family's 1533-position model. The record is from RNAcentral.
AGAGUUUGAUCAUGGCUCAGGAUGAACGCUAGCUACAGGCUUAACACAUGCAAGUCGAGGGGAAACGACAUCGAAAGCUUGCUUUUGAUGGGCGUCGACCGGCGCACGGGUGAGUAACGCGUAUCCAACCUGCCCAUCACUUGGGGAUAACCUUGCGAAAGUAAGACUAAUACCCAAUGAUAUCUCUAGAAGACAUCUGAAAGAGAUUAAAGAUUUAUCGGUGAUGGAUGGGGAUGCGUCUGAUUAGCUUGUUGGCGGGGUAACGGCCACAAGGCUACGAUCAGUAGGGUUCUGAGAGGAAGGUCCCCCANAUUGGAACUGAGACCACGGUCCAAACGUCCUACGGGAGGCA